Molecule: ribosomal RNA, 398 nt
Filed under: uncultured bacterium
Lineage: Bacteria
Description: bacterial SSU rRNA
Rfam family: Bacterial small subunit ribosomal RNA
Source: RNAcentral
AUUGAACGCCGGCGGAAUGCUUUACACAUGCAAGUCGAACGGCAGCACGGGGCAACCUGGUGGCGAGUGGCGAACGGGUGAGUAAUACAUCGGAACGUGCCCAGUCGUGGGGGAUAACGUAGCGAAAGUUACGCUAAUACCGCAUACGAUCUAUGGAUGAACGCGGGGGAUCGCAAGACCUCGCGCGAUUGGAGCGGCCGAUGUCAGAUUAGGUAGUUGGUGGGGUAAAGGCCUACCAAGCCGACGAUCUGUGGCUGGUCUGAGAGGACGACCAGCCACACUGGGACUGAGACACGGCCCAGACUCCUACGGGAGGCAGCAGUGGGGAAUUUUGGACAAUGGGCGCAAGCCUGAUCCAGCCAUUCCGCGUGCAGGAUGAAGGCCUUCGGGUUGUAACU